Molecule: ribosomal RNA, 326 nt
Filed under: uncultured eukaryote
Lineage: Eukaryota
Description: partial 18S ribosomal RNA
Rfam family: Eukaryotic small subunit ribosomal RNA
Source: RNAcentral
CCCUUAGAUGUUCUGGGCUGCACGCGCGCUACACUGAUGCACUCAACGAGUUUACGACCUUGCCCGAUAGGGUUGGGUAAUCUUUUUAAAAUGCAUCGUGAUGGGGAUAGAUUAUUGCAAUUAUUAAUCUUCAACGAGGAAUUCCUAGUAAGCGCGAGUCAUCAGCCCGUGCUGAUUACGUCCCUGCCCUUUGUACACACCGCCCGUCGCUCCUACCGAUUGAGUGCUCAGGUGAAUAAUUCGGACUGCAGCAAUGUUUGGAUCCCGAACGUUGCAGCGGAAAGUUUAGUGAACCUUAUCACUUAGAGGAAGGAGAAGUCGUAACA